Molecule: ribosomal RNA, 406 nt
Filed under: uncultured bacterium
Lineage: Bacteria
Description: partial 16S ribosomal RNA
Rfam family: Bacterial small subunit ribosomal RNA
Source: RNAcentral
AUUGAACGCUGGCGGCAGGCCUAACACAUGCAAGUCGAGCGAGCGGCGGACGGGUGAGCAAUGUAUGGGAAUUGGCCUGAGGGAGGGGGAUAAGUACCGGAAACGGUUGCUAAUAACGCAUACCUGAGGAUGGGCCCAGAUGGGAUUAGCUAGUAGGUGGGGUAAUGGCUUACCAAGGCGACGAUCCCUAGCUGGUCUGAGAGGAUGACCAGCCACACUGGAACUGAGACACGGUCCAGACUCCUACGGGAGGCAGCAGUGGGGAAUAUUGGACAGUGGGCGCAAGCCUGAUGCAGCCAUGCCGCGUGUGUGAAGAAGGCCUUCGGGUUGUAAAGCACUUUCAGCGAGGAGGCGUUACUCGCAGAAUAAGCACCGGCUAACUACGUGCCAGCAGCCGCGGUAAUAC